RNAcentral lists this long non-coding RNA (1001 nucleotides) under Homo sapiens (human). RNAcentral's name for it is "non-protein coding lnc-SNCB-3:1". The record is from RNAcentral. Lineage: Eukaryota; Metazoa; Chordata; Mammalia; Primates; Hominidae.
CGCCAGCGGGGGCGCUGAGCUCAGAGCUGCCGCAGCGCCGGAGCCGGAGCCGGAGCCGGAGCGCGCGAGCUCGCAGGGCGCGAGGAACGAGCGGUGGCUGGCUACGCACCCGAGACCCGGGCACUGCUGCGCUCCUGCUCAGGACCCGCGACCCGAGCGCCUGAUCCCGGCCCUAUCCCCCCUCCGGCCCCUGGUCCACCCCGGCCUGGCCUAGCGGAGCCCCCGCGUCCGCCCGCCGCAGCCGCCGCUCCAUCCCCAGCCCCGGCCCCGCAUCCAGCCAGAGGAAGUGGCCCAGGAAGCUGCUGAAGAACCACUGAUUGAGCCCCUGAUGGAGCCAGAAGGGGAGAGUUAUGAGGACCCACCCCAGGAGGAAUAUCAGGAGUAUGAGCCAGAGGCGUAGGGGCCCAGGAGAGCCCCCACCAGCAGCACAAUUCUGUCCCUGUCCCUGCCCCGCCCCCCAGAGCCAGGGCUGUCCUUAGACUCCUUCUCCCCAAUCACGAGAUCUUCCUUCCGCUCUGAGGCAACCCCCUCGGAGCCUGUGUUAGUGUCUGUCCAUCUGUCUGUCCUACCCGCCCGCGUCCAACCCCGGGGCAUGGACAGGGCCAGGGUUGCGGUCGCGGCUGGGAGCCUCGCCCCUCCAGUGUUGCCUCCUCCCAUCCAGCGUCUGCGCGGAUGUAGCAUGUUCUAUGUGUUUUUAAACGAAGAUCCGAGCGACGGCUCCUCCCCGAUCCCCGACAGUGGCUCUCCAAGCGGCCCCCGGGCAGCCCCAGAGCACCCCGCCCGACUCCCAUUAACCUCGAGAACCUUUUUUUUUUUAACCAAAACCAGGAGCCAGGCUGUGCCAUGUCCCCCGCCCCCCAUCCCAGCCGGCCCGGUCCGAACGCGGGCGUCGUGUGUUGUGAUUGUGGCAUGGAGAGUCCCCAUCCCCCCCAUGUGAGCGUGUCCCGGGCGGGUGGGCCCGGCCGCCCCCGAGAGUCCAUGAAUAAAGCUAAUCUGUCUGU